CCACUACAAAAGCGGCCAACCCCAUUUUAAAUUCGCUACUCAAACAUAUUGGAAGUAUACAGAUGUGGAACUAGUACUGCUUACUUCAAGAUUGUAGCAAUUCUAGCACAAAACUAGUUUCCUGCACCAGCGGGUACAUCAAUUACAAGAAUACAUGAACAGUCGUGCGGAUACGACUAUGUUGAAUCAGGAAACUCGGUAAGAGCCGUCAAUUUGCCUUCUCCAAAUUGUGAACGCACAUCUGCGCCGUAGUUCAACAAC
This is a long non-coding RNA of Stomoxys calcitrans (stable fly), 261 nucleotides long. RefSeq lists it as uncharacterized. Lineage: Eukaryota; Metazoa; Arthropoda; Insecta; Diptera; Muscidae. The record is from RefSeq and is a predicted model, not a curated record. The transcript has 3 exons.